This 497-nucleotide ribosomal RNA is filed under the name uncultured bacterium. RNAcentral's name for it is "partial 16S ribosomal RNA". It matches the Rfam family "Bacterial small subunit ribosomal RNA", at positions 28 to 507 of the family's 1533-position model. The record is from RNAcentral.
GAUGAACGCUGGCGGCGUGCCUAAUACAUGCAAGUCGAGCGAACAGAUGAGGAGCUUGCUCCUCUGACGUUAGCGGCGGACGGGUGAGUAACACGUGGAUAACCUACCUAUAAGACUGGGAUAACUUCGGGAAUCCGGAGCUAAUACCGGAUAAUAUAUUGAACCGCAUGGUUCAAUAGUGAAAGACGGUUUUGCUGUCACUUAUAGAUGGAUCCGCGCCGCAUUAGCUAGUUGGUAAGGUAACGGCUUACCAAGACAACGAUGCGUAGCCGACCUGAGAGGGUGAUCGGCCACACUGGAACUGAGACACGGUCCAGAAUCCUACGGGAGGCAGCAGUAGGGAAUCUUCCGCAAUGGGCGAAAGCCUGACGGAGAAACGCCGCGUGAGUGAUGAAGGUCUUCGGAUCGUAAAACUCUGUUAUUAGGGAAGAACAAAUGUGUAAGUAACUAUGCACGUCUUGACGGUAACUAAUCAGAAAGCCCCGGCUAACUACGUG